UGGAAAACUUGGCUUAAACACGGUAUUUCGACUUACCGUUUGGAAAAGGGUAAGUCGAAAUCCAAAGCUUUCUCGCGGCCCUUGCUCCACAGAGAACACCGUAAAUUCUUUCUCCCGUCCUUGCUCCACACCGGCGACUGUUUGGAAUCCUUCUCAUCGGUGAGGCGGACGGUCGUCUUCUCAGAGUGUUAAUAGAGCUAUGAAUCCUUGGGCUCUUCAUCUUCAAAAACUGGGUCUGGAGCUUAAAUGUCCUCUCUGUUUGAAUUUGUUUAAACGACCAUUGUUGAUGAUGUGCGAGCAUCUGUUUUGCGAGUUAGUACCAUUUCUCCUUCUAUCUUUAUCUUCGCUUCUGAAAUUUUUUGGUUUUCAUUGCUUUCUUUUCAUUUUUUUUGGUUUUUAAAUUGUUAUAGUACGUGCAUAGCCAGAACUGAGUUUGGCUCAAAGUGCCUUAUUUGCAAAGACCAAUCUGCAGAUCGAGUUCCUUUUGAUCAAGUUUGCGAACAUGAUUGGUGCAACUGUAUCCAAGUUUUGGAAGCCGGAUGUCACUCAUGUGAUUGCUUCUACAGAUGGGAAUGGUGCAUACACCAGGACACUUAAAAGUUCUCAUGGCCAUUUCAAACGGGAAGUGGAUUCUUAAUAUAAAUUGGGUAAAGGAGUGCUUGAAAGCCAUGCAUUCUUUGAGUGAGGAACCUUACAGUUAGUCUCGAUAACCACAGGUGUUGUGAUGGCCCUAAAACUGGCAGACUCGGUAUAGAAUGAUGCACCAUAGCUCUUCGAUAGCUUUAACUUUUAUUUUGUGGGCGAUUUCGUGUCUGGUUACAAGGAAGAUCUUCAAAAUCUGGUUGUCACCGAGGGUGGUAUUGUUCUGAUGAGAAUGGAGGAACUAAUCGAACAUAAUAACAGCGGUGAUCAGACAUCUCAAGCAAAGAUGGUUGUUGUGUAUAACCUGGAUGCUCCCCAAGGAUCCGAGUUAGGAGAAGAGGUUUCAAUUAUUUGGCAGAGGGUUAGUGAAGCACAGGAUUUAGCCUAAAAAAUUAGAGGAACAAGUUACUUUUAAAUGUGA
This is a long non-coding RNA of Hibiscus syriacus, 1063 nucleotides long. RefSeq lists it as uncharacterized. NCBI's taxonomy places the organism in Eukaryota, Viridiplantae, Streptophyta, Magnoliopsida, Malvales, Malvaceae. The transcript has 6 exons. The record is from RefSeq and is a predicted model, not a curated record.